RNAcentral lists this ribosomal RNA (240 nucleotides) under Triticum aestivum (bread wheat). Its description in RNAcentral is "partial small subunit ribosomal RNA". Lineage: Eukaryota; Viridiplantae; Streptophyta; Magnoliopsida; Poales; Poaceae. The record is from RNAcentral.
AUGGAAGUCCACAAGGUCAAGAUGGCAAGCUUGUGCUUAAUUUUGCUCAUGGCACUCCUCUUGCUUCCUGCAGGAUCUGAAGGCGCCUGCAGGGGGUUAAGCCAGACGUACCAAACUGACCAAUGCAAGGGUGACCAAUGCACAGAGCACUGCGAACAUGAGAAUUUCCCGUAUGCGGAGUGUGACACGGACCAUCAAUAUCCUGAACUUAGUUACUGCGUCUGCUUCUUUCCAUGCUGA